Molecule: ribosomal RNA, 305 nt
Filed under: uncultured bacterium
Lineage: Bacteria
Description: bacterial SSU rRNA
Rfam family: Bacterial small subunit ribosomal RNA
Source: RNAcentral
GUGUCCCUACGGGGGGCAGCAGUGGGGAAUAUUGGGCAAUGGGCGCAAGCCUGACCCAGCAACGCCGCGUGAAGGAAGAAGGCGUUCGGGUUGUAAACUUCUUUUAAGAGGGAAGAGCAGAAGACGGUACCUCUUGAAUAAGCCACGGCUAACUACGUGCCAGCAGCCGCGGUAAUACGUAGGUGGCAAGCGUUGUCCGGAUUUACUGGGUGUAAAGGGCGUGCAGCCGGGAAGACAAGUCAGAUGUGAAAUCCCGCGGCCCAACCGCGGAACUGCAUUGGAAACUGUUUUUCUUGAAUACGGGG